GAUGAACGCUGGCGGCGUGCUUAAUACAUGCAAGUCGAACGGAGGAUGUAGCGAUAUGUCCUCAGUGGCGAACGGGUGAGUAACGCGUUGGUGACCUGCCCCGAAGAGAGGGAUAACAGUUCGAAAGGACUGCUAAUACCGCAUUAGGUCGUUGAGGCUAGAGGCUCGAUGACGAAAGGAGAAAUCCGCUUUGGGAGGGGCCUGCGUCCCAUCAGCUAGUUGGUAAGGUAAAGGCUUACCAAGGCGAAGACGGGUAGGGGGCCUGAGAGGGUGAUCAGCCACACUGGCACUGGAACACGGGCCAGACACCUACGGGUGGCAG
This 322-nucleotide ribosomal RNA is filed under the name uncultured Chloroflexota bacterium. RNAcentral describes it as "bacterial SSU rRNA". It matches the Rfam family "Bacterial small subunit ribosomal RNA", at positions 28 to 351 of the family's 1533-position model. Lineage: Bacteria; Bacillati; Chloroflexota. The record is from RNAcentral.